CCUACGGGUGGCAGCAGUGAGGAAUAUUGGUCAAUGGGCGCGAGCCUGAACCAGCCAAAUCGCGUGAGGGAAGACGGUCCUAUGGAUUGUAAACCUCUUUUGUCGGGGAGCAAAAGACGCCACGCGUGGCGUUCCGAGAGUACCUGACGAAAAAGCCUCGGCUAACUCAGUGCCAGCAGACGCGGUAAUACGGGAGAUGCGAGCGUUAUCCGGAUUUAUUGGGUUAAAAGGGUGCGCAGGCGGAAGAUCAAGUCAGCGGUAAAAUUGAGAGGCUCAACCUCUUCGAGCCGUUGAAACUGGUUGUCUUGAGUGAGCGAGAGGUAUGCGGAAUGCGUGGUGUAGCGGUGAAAUGCAUAGAUAUCAGGAGGAACAUCGGUGGCGUAAGCGCUUUACUGGGCCGUAAUUGACGCUGAGGAACGAAAGCCAGGGUAGCAAAUGGGAUUAGAUACCCGAGUAGUC
This 459-nucleotide ribosomal RNA is filed under the name uncultured bacterium. RNAcentral's name for it is "partial 16S ribosomal RNA". It matches the Rfam family "Bacterial small subunit ribosomal RNA", at positions 338 to 795 of the family's 1533-position model. The record is from RNAcentral.